This 126-nucleotide small nucleolar RNA is filed under the name Castor canadensis (American beaver). RNAcentral's name for it is "Small nucleolar RNA SNORA51 (ENSCCNG00000027482.1)". It matches the Rfam family "Small nucleolar RNA SNORA51". Rfam says of the family: ACA51 is a member of the H/ACA class of snoRNA that guide the sites of modification of uridines to pseudouridines. The record is from Rfam by way of RNAcentral. Lineage: Eukaryota; Metazoa; Chordata; Mammalia; Rodentia; Castoridae.
GGCCUCUUGGUGCUUACCACAGUCUGCACUACACUGACUAUAUAGAAAGAGGCAAAGUAAACCUACCCCAUAUACACCUCAGCCCAGGCCCUGUGCCUGGUCUGCAUUGUGAAUGGGGAGUUAUGG